RNAcentral lists this ribosomal RNA (253 nucleotides) under uncultured bacterium. RNAcentral's name for it is "partial 16S ribosomal RNA". It matches the Rfam family "Bacterial small subunit ribosomal RNA", at positions 524 to 776 of the family's 1533-position model. The record is from RNAcentral.
UACGUAGGGUGCAAGCGUUGUCCGGAAUUAUUGGGCGUAAAGAGCUCGUAGGCGGUCUGUCGCGUCUGCUGUGAAAACUCGGGGCUUAACCCCGGGCCUGCAGUGGGUACGGGCAGACUAGAGUGCGGCAGGGGAGACUGGAAUUCCUGGUGUAGCGGUGAAAUGCGCAGAAAUCAGGAGGAACACCGGUGGCGAAGGCGGGUCUCUGGGCCGUAACUGACGCUGAGGAGCGAAAGCAUGGGGAGCGAACAGG